This 256-nucleotide unclassified non-coding RNA is filed under the name Bombus terrestris (buff-tailed bumblebee). RNAcentral's name for it is "misc RNA ENSBTSG00005027253.1". Lineage: Eukaryota; Metazoa; Arthropoda; Insecta; Hymenoptera; Apidae. The record is from RNAcentral.
CCAUUAAUUAGGUCGAUUCCUGGCGCUUUGUUGUUUUUUGUUUUAUCAAUUAUGUUUCUAAUUUCUUGUGCCAAUGUUUUAGGUAUGGUGUAUUCCUUGUCGGCUGUGGUAGCAGUGGUUGGAGAAUUCUUCAGCUUGUUCUUCGUUGCUUCUUGCCCAUGUGUUAUCUGCUUUUCUGAUUGCCGGGACGGGUAUUAUUGGCUUCCUUAUUUUUUUCGUGGCUUUCCAUAGUGAAUAGUUGGUGUUCUCGUGUGUG